This 1323-nucleotide ribosomal RNA is filed under the name Escherichia coli. RNAcentral describes it as "partial 23S ribosomal RNA". It matches the Rfam family "Bacterial large subunit ribosomal RNA", at positions 410 to 1735 of the family's 2925-position model. The record is from RNAcentral. Lineage: Bacteria; Pseudomonadati; Pseudomonadota; Gammaproteobacteria; Enterobacterales; Enterobacteriaceae.
GAGUAGGGCGGGACACGUGGUAUCCUGUCUGAAUAUGGGGGGACCAUCCUCCAAGGCUAAAUACUCCUGACUGACCGAUAGUGAACCAGUACCGUGAGGGAAAGGCGAAAAGAACCCCGGCGAGGGGAGUGAAAAAGAACCUGAAACCGUGUACGUACAAGCAGUGGGAGCACGCUUAGGCGUGUGACUGCGUACCUUUUGUAUAAUGGGUCAGCGACUUAUAUUCUGUAGCAAGGUUAACCGAAUAGGGGAGCCGAAGGGAAACCGAGUCUUAACUGGGCGUUAAGUUGCAGGGUAUAGACCCGAAACCCGGUGAUCUAGCCAUGGGCAGGUUGAAGGUUGGGUAACACUAACUGGAGGACCGAACCGACUAAUGUUGAAAAAUUAGCGGAUGACUUGUGGCUGGGGGUGAAAGGCCAAUCAAACCGGGAGAUAGCUGGUUCUCCCCGAAAGCUAUUUAGGUAGCGCCUCGUGAAUUCAUCUCCGGGGGUAGAGCACUGUUUCGGCAAGGGGGUCAUCCCGACUUACCAACCCGAUGCAAACUGCGAAUACCGGAGAAUGUUAUCACGGGAGACACACGGCGGGUGCUAACGUCCGUCGUGAAGAGGGAAACAACCCAGACCGCCAGCUAAGGUCCCAAAGUCAUGGUUAAGUGGGAAACGAUGUGGGAAGGCCCAGACAGCCAGGAUGUUGGCUUAGAAGCAGCCAUCAUUUAAAGAAAGCGUAAUAGCUCACUGGUCGAGUCGGCCUGCGCGGAAGAUGUAACGGGGCUAAACCAUGCACCGAAGCUGCGGCAGCGACGCUGAUGCGUUGUUGGGUAGGGGAGCGUUCUGUAAGCCUGCGAAGGUGUGCUGUGAGGCAUGCUGGAGGUAUCAGAAGUGCGAAUGCUGACAUAAGUAACGAUAAAGCGGGUGAAAAGCCCGCUCGCCGGAAGACCAAGGGUUCCUGUCCAACGUUAAUCGGGGCAGGGUGAGUCGACCCCUAAGGCGAGGCCGAAAGGCGUAGUCGAUGGGAAACAGGUUAAUAUUCCUGUACUUGGUGUUACUGCGAAGGGGGGACGGAGAAGGCUAUGUUGGCCGGGCGACGGUUGUCCCGGUUUAAGCGUGUAGGCUGGUUUUCCAGGCAAAUCCGGAAAAUCAAGGCUGAGGCGUGAUGACGAGGCACUACGGUGCUGAAGCAACAAAUGCCCUGCUUCCAGGAAAAGCCUCUAAGCAUCAGGUAACAUCAAAUCGUACCCCAAACCGACACAGGUGGUCAGGUAGAGAAUACCAAGGCGCUUGAGAGAACUCGGGUGAAGGAACUAGGCAAAAUGGUGCCGUAACU